AGAGCGAACGCUGGCGGCAGGCCUAAUACAUGCAAGUCGAACGGAUCCUUCGGGAUUAGUGGCGGACGGGUGAGUAACACGUGGGAACGUGCCCUUUGGUUCGGAACAACUCAGGGAAACUUGAGCUAAUACCGAAUGUGCCCUUCGGGGGAAAGAUUUAUCGCCAUUGGAGCGGCCCGCGUCUGAUUAGCUAGUUGGUGGGGUAAAGGCCCACCAAGGCGACGAUCAGUAGCUGGUCUGAGAGGAUGAUCAGCCACACUGGGACUGAGACACGGCCCAGACUCCUACGGGAGGCAGCAGUAGGGAAUCUUGCGCAAUGGGCGAAAGCCUGACGCAGCCAUGCCGCGUGAAUGAUGAAGGUCUUAGGAUUAUAAAAUUCUUUCAGCGGGGACGAUAAUGACGGUACCCGCAGAAGAAGCCCCGGCUAACUUCGUGCCAGCAGCCGC
This 446-nucleotide ribosomal RNA is filed under the name uncultured bacterium. RNAcentral's name for it is "SSU rRNA". It matches the Rfam family "Bacterial small subunit ribosomal RNA", at positions 26 to 518 of the family's 1533-position model. The record is from RNAcentral.